GAUGAACGCUGGCGGCGUGCCUAAUACAUGCAAGUCGAGCGAACAGACGAGGAGCUUGCUCCUCUGACGUUAGCGGCGGACGGGUGAGUAACACGUGGAUAACCUACCUAUAAGACUGGGAUAACUUCGGGAAACCGGAGCUAAUACCGGAUAAUAUAUUGAACCGCAUGGUUCAAUAGUGAAAGACGGUUUUGCUGUCACUUAUAGAUGGAUCCGCGCCGCAUUAGCUAGUUGGUAAGGUAACGGCUUACCAAGGCAACGAUGCGUAGCCGACCUGAGAGGGUGAUCGGCCACACUGGAACUGAGACACGGUCCAGACUCCUACGGGAGGCAGCAGUAGGGAAUCUGCCGCAAUGGGCGAAAGCCUGACGGAGCAACGCCGCGUGAGUGAUGAAGGUCUUCGGAUCGUAAAACUCUGUUAUUAGGGAAGAACAAAUGUGUAAGUAACUAUGCACGUCUGGACGGUACCUAAUCAGAAAGCCACGGCGAACUACGU
Molecule: ribosomal RNA, 496 nt
Filed under: uncultured bacterium
Lineage: Bacteria
Description: partial 16S ribosomal RNA
Rfam family: Bacterial small subunit ribosomal RNA
Source: RNAcentral